RNAcentral lists this ribosomal RNA (497 nucleotides) under uncultured bacterium. RNAcentral describes it as "partial 16S ribosomal RNA". It matches the Rfam family "Bacterial small subunit ribosomal RNA", at positions 28 to 507 of the family's 1533-position model. The record is from RNAcentral.
GAUGAACGCUGGCGGCGUGCCUAAUACAUGCAAGUCGAGCGAACAGAUGAGGAGCUUGCUCCUCUGACGUUAGCGGCGGACGGGUGAGUAACACGUGGAUAACCUACCUAUAAGACUGGGAUAACUUCGGGAAACCGGAGCUAAUACCGGAUAAUAUAUUGAACCGCAUGGUUCAAUAGUGAAAGACGGUUUUGCUGUCACUUAUAGAUGGAUCCGCGCCGCAUUAGCUAGUUGGUAAGGUAACGGCUUACCAAGGCAACGAUGCGUAGCCGACCUGAGAGGGUGAUCGGCCACACUGGAACGGAGACACGGUCCAGACUCCUACGGGAGGCAGCAGUAGGGAAUCUUCCGCAAUGGGCGAAAGCCUGACGGAGCAACGCCGCGUGAGUGAUGAAGGUCUUCGGAUCGUAAAACUCUGUUAUGAGGGAAGAACAAAUGUGUAAGUAACUAUGCACGUCUUGACGGUACCUAAUCAGAAAGCCACGGCUAACUACGUG